UGCCUAAGUUCUCAUAGAAUAUGGCAUAAAAACCUUUCACAGACAUUAAGCUCCUCGUCAGAGCAUCUGUGAAGGGUCAUAUCUCGAAAGGGGUAUGGGUAGCGAAAGCUAUC
Molecule: small RNA, 113 nt
Filed under: unclassified sequences
Description: LOOT RNA
Rfam family: LOOT RNA
About the family: Latescibacteria, OD1/Parcubacteria, OP11, TM7. Lineage (Microgenomates, aka OP11)
Source: Rfam by way of RNAcentral